This 419-nucleotide long non-coding RNA is filed under the name Equus caballus (horse). RNAcentral describes it as "lncRNA (ENSECAG00000038201.3)". The record is from RNAcentral. Lineage: Eukaryota; Metazoa; Chordata; Mammalia; Perissodactyla; Equidae.
CAGACCAGUGGUGUGGUUCUACUACUGGGCAACGGACCUGGCCUGCUGAAGUGGCCAAAAGAAAGACCAACCAAAUCCUUCCGAGAUUUCACGGCGACCACUACUGCAGGGAGAUCGCUUGGUGGGUUCGGUGAUAAUGCAUCUGCAGAACUGACCCUUCAGAGCAGUGUGGGAAACUGUCAUACAAGUGUAAAGAGGACCACCCACCUACCACUGGGCCCUUUGAGUAUGGUCAACCCCAUGAGGUGUAAAUGUAAGACCACAGGAGAAAAUAGGCUUCUAUGUCAGAUUACAUAUUCCUUCUCAGCUCCAGCAGGAAAAAAAUCUCAGCAAUUUUGCCCCAACACCAGAGAACUGGCAGGGAGAGAGACUUCCACAGCACCAGUAGAAGGAGCCAAGGAAUUAGGAUAAGAGCAUGG